Molecule: long non-coding RNA, 1073 nt
Filed under: Citrus x clementina
Lineage: Eukaryota; Viridiplantae; Streptophyta; Magnoliopsida; Sapindales; Rutaceae
Description: Citrus clementina (C. clementina) long non-coding RNA (CCLE_LNC004741)
Source: RNAcentral
UGACAUUAUUAAUUAAUUUAUAGAGAUUUUACUGUACUUAUGUCUUGUUUUAAUUUUGAAUCUAGUGAAAAAAAUAAUAAUUUUGAUAAAUGGACUUUUGAUAUGAAGUGUAUAGUUGAGCUCCUAACACACUCUUAUGAAACCCUAAUUAUCAUGUUAAUAGCCUUACCUUUAUUAAAACAAUAAUGUUAGGGAUCUCGACAUUUAAAUCCGAACUUGAGUCCCAAUGCUAUGUGCCACUUAUCUAUUGGACGAUAGAUUUUAUAGCUAGUAAAAUUACUUAACCACCAUCCAAUAAAUGAAUGACACGUCAAUUAGGACUCAAAUUGGAAUUUAAAUGUUGAGAUACCUAGCAUCGUUCUUAUUAAAAUUGCAAAAAAGGAUAAAACAUUAUAAUAAAGUUAAUUAAAUUUAAACAUACUUUUUGAUAAUUAAUAAGUUAAUUAAAUUUUACACAUACUUUUUAAUCAUCAAUUAGAUUUUACACAAUCUUUUUAAUAAUAAAGUUGGAUAAUUUAUUACUUCAUUGUCUCAAAAUUAUUUUGAUUUUAUUAAAAAAAUAAUUAUAUCAUAAAUCAAGAUUUAAAAAGAUGAGAGGAUCCAUUAUUUGUAGGUGUAAACAUAUUUUAAUUUAGUUCAAUUCAUAAUUGUCCUUUAUCUUGUUUCAUCUAGUAAUAGAAGUAUGAUAGGAGAAAAAAAAAAGUUUUAUAAGGAUUGUAAAGGGGUGCGGAAAGCAUUACUCUUAACUUUAAGCCAAAUAAAUUGGACCGGUCCAGGAAUUACAAAACCCGCUUGAGGUUAUCGGGAUAACCCACACAUAUCGACACACAGCAGCCGUGAAGACGAUUCACCGCGGCCUAGGAUAAAUUGUGUCUGAUACAACAGAAUUACAUGAACAAGGAAGCUAAGGGCGAGAGCCAAACAUAACAUGAAUCCGGAAACAAUCUCAAGCAACGAGAAUAUGUGAUGAAUAAUGUGCUCCGGAAGAUUGCCGAGUCUAUUAAUAGUAAUUCCAUUUUAUCACUCCUCCUCCUCCUCCUCCUCUAUUAAUAGUAACAAUUUAUUAUUAUUAU